This is a long non-coding RNA of Sphaeramia orbicularis (orbiculate cardinalfish), 165 nucleotides long. RefSeq lists it as uncharacterized. The record is from RefSeq and is a predicted model, not a curated record. The transcript has 3 exons. NCBI's taxonomy places the organism in Eukaryota, Metazoa, Chordata, Actinopteri, Kurtiformes, Apogonidae.
UACCAAAUUGGUAGUUCUGCCUCUUUCCUCAUUAAAGACAAUCUUGUAGUGACACUGGAAAGCCCUCUGUUGAACGAAUUCCUCCCCCGGUGGAUUAUCUGUGUAUUGCAUGUAUCUAAUUGUAUACAUCAGGUUUUUCAAGAAAAAAAAAUAUCACAUUGCUCA